This 439-nucleotide ribosomal RNA is filed under the name uncultured bacterium. Its description in RNAcentral is "partial 16S ribosomal RNA". It matches the Rfam family "Bacterial small subunit ribosomal RNA", at positions 339 to 795 of the family's 1533-position model. The record is from RNAcentral.
CUACGGGUUGCUCCAGUGAGGAAUAUUGCACAAUGGGGGGAACCCUGAUGCAGCAACGCCGCGUGGAGGAUGACGCAUUUCGGUGUGUAAACUCCUUUUAUAUGUCAAGAAAAUGACGGUAGCAUAUGAAUAAGCACCGGCUAACUCCGUGCCAGCAGCCGCGGUAAUACGGAGGCUGCAAGCGUUACUCGGAAUCACUGGGCGUAAAGGACGCGUAGGCGGGUUGGAAAGUCAGGUGUGAAAUCCUACAGCUUAACUGUAGAACUGCACUUGAAACUUCUAAUCUAGAGUAUGGGAGGGGGAGAUUGAAUUAGUGGUGUAGGGGUAAAAUCCGUAGAUAUCACUAGGAAUACCUAAAGCGAAGGCGAUCUCCUGGAACAUUACUGACGCUAAGGCGUGAAAGCGUGGGGAGCAAACAGGAUUAGAUACCCCCGUAGUC